Molecule: ribosomal RNA, 440 nt
Filed under: uncultured bacterium
Lineage: Bacteria
Description: partial 16S ribosomal RNA
Rfam family: Bacterial small subunit ribosomal RNA
Source: RNAcentral
CCUACGGGUGGCAGCAGUGGGGGAUAUUGCACAAUGGGGGGAACCCUGAUGCAGCGACGCCGCGUGGGUGAAGGAGCGUUUCGGCGCGUAAAGCCCUAUCGGCAGGGAAGAAGAUGACGGUACCUGACCAAGAAGCCCCGGCUAACUACGUGCCAGCAGCCGCGGGAAUACGUAGGGGGCAAGCGUUAUCAGGAUUUACUGGGUGGAAAGGGGGCGCGGACGGGAAUGCAAGCCAGGAGUGAAAGCCCGGGGCCUAACCCCGGGACUGCUCUUGGAACUGGAUGGCUGGAGUGCAUGAGGGGCAGGCGGAAUGCCUAGUGUAGCGGUGAAAUGCGUAGAUAUCAGGAGGAACACCGGUGGCGAAGGCGGCCUGCUGGACUGUGACUGACGUUGAGGCCCGAAGGCGUGGGGAGCAAACAGGAUUAGAUACCCCAGUAGUC